RNAcentral lists this ribosomal RNA (789 nucleotides) under uncultured bacterium. Its description in RNAcentral is "bacterial SSU rRNA". It matches the Rfam family "Bacterial small subunit ribosomal RNA", at positions 8 to 796 of the family's 1533-position model. The record is from RNAcentral.
AGAGUUUGAUCAUGGCUCAGGACGAACGCUGGCGGCGUGCUUAACACAUGCAAGUCGAACGGAAAGGCCCUUUCGGGGGUGCUCGAGUGGCGAACGGGUGAGUAACACGUGGGUGAUCUGCCCUGCACUUCGGGAUAAGCUUGGGAAACUGGGUCUAAUACCGGAUAGGACCACGGCCUGCAUGGGUUGUGGUGGAAAACGUUUUAGUGGUGUGGGAUGGGCCCGCGGCCUAUCAGCUUGUUGGUGGGGUGAUGGCCUACCAAGGCGACGACGGGUAGCCGGCCUGAGAGGGUGUCCGGCCACACUGGGACUGAGAUACGGCCCAGACUCCUACGGGAGGCAGCAGUGGGGAAUAUUGCACAAUGGGCGCAAGCCUGAUGCAGCGACGCCGCGUGGGGGAUGACGGCCUUCGGGUUGUAAACCUCUUUCACCAUCGACGAAGCUGGAUGCUUUUGUGUCCGGUGACGGUAGGUGGAGAAGAAGCACCGGCCAACUACGUGCCAGCAGCCGCGGUAAUACGUAGGGUGCGAGCGUUGUCCGGAAUUACUGGGCGUAAAGAGCUCGUAGGUGGUUUGUCGCGUUGUUCGUGAAAUUCCCUGGCUUAACUGGGGGCGUGCGGGCGAUACGGGCAGACUGGAGUACUGCAGGGGAGACUGGAAUUCCUGGUGUAGCGGUGGAAUGCGCAGAUAUCAGGAGGAACACCGGUGGCGAAGGCGGGUCUCUGGGCAGUAACUGACGCUGAGGAGCGAAAGCGUGGGGAGCGAACAGGAUUAGAUACCCCGGUAGUCC